Molecule: ribosomal RNA, 255 nt
Filed under: uncultured bacterium
Lineage: Bacteria
Description: partial 16S ribosomal RNA
Rfam family: Bacterial small subunit ribosomal RNA
Source: RNAcentral
UACGAAGGGGGCUAGCGUUGCUCGGAAUCACUGGGCGUAAAGGGUGCGUAGGCGGACUGAUAAGUCAGUGGUGAAAUCUCUUUGCUUAACAAAGAAACUGCCAUUGAUACUGUCGGUCUAGAGUAUAGAUGACGUUGGCGGAAUAUGACAUGUAGUGGUGAAAUACUUAGAUAUGUCAUAGAACACCGAUUGCGAAGGCAGCUAACGAAAACUAUAACUGACGCUGAGGCACGAAAGUGCGGGGAUCAAAACAGG